Molecule: long non-coding RNA, 548 nt
Organism: Aptenodytes forsteri (emperor penguin)
Lineage: Eukaryota; Metazoa; Chordata; Aves; Sphenisciformes; Spheniscidae
Exons: 5
Source: RefSeq, a predicted model, not a curated record
CAGUGUGGAAUUUCGAUUUAAAACCUGCCCCUGUGGGGAAUGCCGUCUGGCAAGCUGCGUAAGGGAGACUUCCAAGUUUCCUGAAUAAAACCAGUUUUAGAGAGGAUUGUUGACUACUGAAAGCUAUCUGAUAAAGAUUUUGGUGCUUCGCGAUAUAAAUGCGAACAUGAGUGGAAUUAUAAGCAGACUGUUGGUGCAGAAAGAUGUCCUGAAGUAAAGAAGCCUGGUCUUGCCAGGUAAAUGGGACACAAUUGGGACUGGGAGCAGGUCGCUCUUUGGAGAUGGCCCUAAUGUGAAGCUCUUCACAAGCCCUGUGGAAGGCAGUGAGACAGCAAGGGCAGGAGAUUCUUCUGGGUGUUUAUGCUGAAAACAUCUUGUCCGAGGAAGAAGGAAUCCAAUAAAACAUGCGCGUGAGCUUGGGGACUAGGGUUUGUGGAGACUAGUGUUUGUAAAGACUAGCUAUUUUUCUGCCUUAAGAUGUUAAGAAGUGGUAACAGUUACACCAUUUUGAUUGCACAUACAUUAAAAUUCUUUCUCAAAAACAACUG